This 1804-nucleotide long non-coding RNA is filed under the name Homo sapiens (human). Its description in RNAcentral is "HSALNT0020631". Lineage: Eukaryota; Metazoa; Chordata; Mammalia; Primates; Hominidae. The record is from RNAcentral.
CUUCAGCCUGCUUGGAGGCGCGGUCCGGGGCAGUCGGUGUCGCGCUCAGGGCAGGAAGCCCCAGCCAAGCCCGCUCGCUCUGCCUGGUGCAUCCCCGGGGGAUGGUGAGAGGCAGUCACUCCUCCCACCUACGCGGGGGCACUUCGGCUGGCGGCUGUUGGCGCGCCCUCUGCCAGCCGGCUAGCCGGUGCAGGAUCCACAAUCUUCAAGGGUGGCCAGGUGCUUCCAAGAUCCUAAACGCAGUUAACCACUCGGCGAGGUAGAAAACAGGCCCAGAGAAGUUCAAGAACUUGCUGUAGAAGAUUACUGAACGAGCUGGACAAGCAUGGCAUCAGCAUCCACUCAGCUUCUGGUGAGGCUUCAGGGAGCUUUUAGUCAUGGCGGAAGGGAAGAGGAGCUGGUCUGUCUUGUGGCAAAAGAGGGAGCAAGAGAGAGAGGAGGAGGUGCCAGCCUCCUUGAAACAGCCAACUCUUGCAUGAACUAACAGAUCAAGAACUCACUCAUUGCCAUGGGGAGGGGACUAAGUCAUUCAUGAGGGAUCCAUCCCUAUUAUCCAACACCUCCUGCUAGGCCCCACCUCCAACAUUGAGAAUCACAUUUCAACACGUGAUGUGGAGGGGACACACAUCCACACCAAAUCACUUUGGCUAUAAAAGAUGCAUAAAAUAUGGUCCAUGUAAUGUAGUUGGUGACACCAACCUGCAUGCAAAAAACAUGAAGGAAGGCAAGAUAGUGUAUGCUUUUCCCUCUGUUUAUCCAAACAUGACCCUGCCUUUCAGGUCCAAAUCAAAUCUUCCCCACUCACUAAGCAUUUAUCAUUCAUUCCUAUACUUGGUCAGAUUUUAAUGAGGACUUACUGAAUCCCAGGUACAAUAUUCAGGAAUCAGAGACAGGGCAGUGAACAAGAUAGCCACAGUUCCUAUUCAAGGACUUAACAAACCAAUGAUCUUGAAAAGUUAUGUAACUCUUACAUAUGUAGGUAUGCUGGCAAAAAAACUGUAAGCUCCUGAAAGGUCGUGAUCAUAUCUUACAUUCUUUUGCGAUCUCCGUACCAGCUAACAUUUGUCCAUAGAACUUAUUGAAUAAAGUUCGAAGGGCUGGGUUGGGUGGAAUUUUUAGUAAAUGUGAAAAGCUAUAAAUUGAUAGCAAAAUCUCAACACAGAGAAAUCUUAAAACACUAAGAACUCUUGCCCACUCCUCAAAACUCAAAACUCAAAUGUCACCUCCUCCAUGAUGCCUUCCCUUAACUAUUCAGGCAGGGUUCGACCCUUUCUUCUCUGAAUCCACACAAUUGGGUGAAGACCAUGGAUAAAACUUAGCACAGUUAUUGUAAUUACUAGUUUACUUGCUUCCCCUCAGAUAAGUAGUUGGGUGUUUGGAGGAAAGGGGAGAGGGUCCCCAAGCCCUCCCAGGGAGACAGCUCCUCCCUGUUUCUUGAAUGGAGAGACAGUAGAGAAUGCACGUGCCCAGCAGGCUUUUUCCUGAUAGAAUGACAGACAUACAAACGAACAUUCACAAAAUUACCACUCCAUGUAAACAUAUGAAUGAUGGUCCUCCCAACUCUUUUCCUGAGAAGUUAAGGAUAAAGUGUUUAAUUGUACAUUUUAAGAUAAAUUAAAGAGUGUAAUUGGAUUGUAACUCAAAGGAUAAUGGUUGAGGGAAAGAAUACCCUAUUCCCCAUGAUGUGCUUACUUCACAUUGCAUGCCUGUAUCAAAACAUCUCAUGUACCCCAUAAAUAUGUACACCUACUAUGUACCCACAAAAAUUUUUUUAAUUUUUUAAAAAAUAAAUAAAUAAAUAAAU